RNAcentral lists this ribosomal RNA (500 nucleotides) under uncultured bacterium. RNAcentral's name for it is "bacterial SSU rRNA". It matches the Rfam family "Bacterial small subunit ribosomal RNA", at positions 16 to 518 of the family's 1533-position model. The record is from RNAcentral.
AUCCUGGCUUACGAUGAACGCUGGCGGCGUGCCUAACACAUGCAAGUCGAACGGAGUUAUAUUCAUGAAGUUUCGGAUGGAUUUAUGUAACUAGUGGCGGACGGGUGAGUAACGCGUGGGUAACCUGCCUCAGUACAGGGGGAUAACAGCUGGAAACGGCUGCUAACACCGCAUAAGCAUACAGCAUCGCAUGAUGCAGUGUGAAAAUAUUAAUAGGUAUGAGAUGGGCCCGCGUCUGAUUAGCUGGUUGGUGAGGUAAUGGCUCACCAAGGCGACGAUCAGUAGCCGGCUUGAGAGAGUGACCGGCCACAUUGGGACUGAGACACGGCCCAAACUCCUACGGGAGGCAGCAGUGGGGAAUAUUGCACAAUGGGGGAAACCCUGAUGCCAGCGACGCCGCGUGAGUGAAGAAGUAUUUCGGUAUGUAAAGCUCUAUCAGCAGGGAAGAAAAUGACGGUACCUGACUAAGAAGCCCCGGCUAACUACGUGCCAGCCGCCGC